UACGUAGGGUGCAAGCGUUAAUCGGAAUUACUGGGCGUAAAGCGUACGUAGGCGGCUUUGUAAGUAAGAGGUGAAAGCCCGGAGCUCAACUCCGGAACUGCCUUUUAGACUGCAUCGCUUGAAUCCAGGAGAGGUGAGUGGAAUUCCGAGUGUAGAGGUGAAAUUCGUAGAUAUUCGGAAGAACACCAGUGGCGAAGGCGGCUCACUGGACUGGUAUUGACGCUGAGGUACGAAAGCGUGGGGAGCAAACAGG
This 253-nucleotide ribosomal RNA is filed under the name uncultured bacterium. Its description in RNAcentral is "partial 16S ribosomal RNA". It matches the Rfam family "Bacterial small subunit ribosomal RNA", at positions 524 to 776 of the family's 1533-position model. The record is from RNAcentral.